AGUCCCUCAGGACUGAGAAUGGGCAGAGGACAGGAAAGAUGGUGACAAGGACUUAAGAUUCUUCACUUUGUCCUGUAAAUGUCUGUGGGGGGCUAAAAGGGGGACUAAAGACUCGGCCUCUCUGCUUGCAUUUUACACCAACCUUCUUUGCUCCAAAGUCACCCUGGAUUCCAGGAAAAAGGGAUGAUGGAUGGACCUCAUGUGAAGAGUAGAGUCCACCUCAGCUUCCCCAGCUCAGGCAACAGCAACUUCCUUAUUGGACAAGGCCCUGUGGGACCAGCCUGAGAUAAGAAUGGGCAGGGCACACCUGACCAAGACCUCCUGCAUUGGCAGCUGUGCAAAGCCUCCAGCUGUGUAAGCUCCUCACACUGGACCUCAGUCCCCUUUCUGUAAAUCCUCAAAGUCCUUGUCAGCCCUGAAGACAGGGCUAAGGACAUGGGUCCCCGCAUCUUUCCAGAGUAGAUGAUCAAAGUUCCUUUUCAAGUUUUUUAAAACAAAAAAACAAAAUAAAAAACCAUUCAAUAUCAUUAGCCACAAGGAGUAACUGCAGGUCAAUACCACCAUGAGAAACCAUCUCACCCCAGUUAGAAUGGCUGUGAUCGAGACAGAGCAAAACAUCGUGGUGAGUAUGUGGAGAAAAAAAGACCUUAAUGCCUUAUAUGUAAAAAGAUGAACUGAAAGUAGAAGAGGAAGUAUUCUGGAGGGGGAAUAGAAGGAAGGAGAAGCCAGGGUAGAGGUAGGACAGAGAAAAUCAAAGCACAAUAAUAGACACAUGAAGAUAAUGGCAUGAGGAAGCCCAUCAAUGUGCUCCAUCAAUCUGCAGUAGAAAUUAUGUUAUCUUCCAGCUUUAAAUCUUAAUGUUGUUGUUGUUGUUAUUAUUAUUAUUAUUAUUAUUAUUAUUAUUAUUAUUAUUAUUAUUAUUUGGUACCAGAAAUUGAAGUCAGGGGCAAUCAAACACAGAGCCACAUUACCAGCCCUAUUUUCUAUUUUAUUUCUAGUCACGGUCUCACUGAGUUGCAUAAUGCCUUGCUAAGUUGCUGAGGCUGACUUUGAACUCACAACCCUCCUUUCUCAGCCUCCUGAGCUGCUAGGAUUACAGGUGUGCACCACUGUGCCCAGCUAGAU
This 1125-nucleotide long non-coding RNA is filed under the name Marmota monax (woodchuck). The record is from RNAcentral. Lineage: Eukaryota; Metazoa; Chordata; Mammalia; Rodentia; Sciuridae.